RNAcentral lists this long non-coding RNA (2322 nucleotides) under Pan troglodytes (chimpanzee). RNAcentral's name for it is "long non-coding RNA NONPTRT016208". The record is from RNAcentral. Lineage: Eukaryota; Metazoa; Chordata; Mammalia; Primates; Hominidae.
AAAAACUGCAAAUGUUUUUUUUGUAGUAGCCAUCCUAAUGGGUACAAAGAGAUAUCUCAUUGUGGUUUUGAUUUGCAUUUCCCUGAUUUAAUGAUGUUGAACACCUUUUCACGUGAUUAUUGGCUGUUGGUAUGUCUUUGGAGAAUUGUCUAUUGCAGUCCUUUUCCCAUUUGUAAACCGGAUUAUCUUGUUUUUUUUUUGUUACUGAGUGGUAAGAGUUCCUUUAUGUUCUGGAUAUUAACUCCUUAUUAGAUAUGUGGUUUGCAGAUAUGUUCUCCCAUUCUGUAUAUUGUUCCUUCUUACUCUGUCAUUUGCUUCCUAUGUUGUGCAGACAUAUUAAAAUUUGAUGUAAUUUAUUUGUCUGAUUUUGCCUUUGUUGCCUGUGCUUUUGGUGUCAUAUCCUAGAAGUCAUUGCAAAAUCCAGUGUCGGGAAGCUUUUCCCCUAAGUUUUCCUCUAGGAGUUUUCUAGUUUCAAGCCUAUACAUUUAGGUCUUUAAUCCAAUGUUAGCCCUUUCUUAAUGAGUUCUUUGUAUUUUGGGCAGGGGAUAAGUCUUUCUUUAAUGUAACUGUCAGGAAUUUACUAUAUUUAACUUUUUCCUUCUUCCUUCCUCCCCUCUUUCCCUCCCUCCUUCCCUUCCUCAUUCAUUUCCUCCUUCCCUCUCUUACGGCUUGAAGAUAAUGGAAUCACUCAGGUUUUGUUCGUAACUGGUAAGGUUUUAGUUAGUAGGAUGAUAAUUCAUUUUCAACAGCACUUUCUUGUUUGUUCAUUGGUUAGCAGGAAGAAGAUGAGCCGUAAGUCUGAACGCCAAGGAAUUCAUGUGGAUCCUGUGCAAGAAAGGAUGUGGUUACUGUGGCAAUCCUACCUGGCAGGGUUUCUGCUCCAAGUGCUGGAGGGAAGAGUAGCACAAAGCCAGGCAGAAGCAGAUUCAGGAGGACUGGGAGCUGGUGGAACGACUCCAGCGGGAGGAAGAAGAGGCCUUUGCCAGCAGUCAGAGCAGCCAAGGGGCCCAAUCCUUCAUAUUCUCCAAGUUUGAAGGAAAGAAAACCAACAAGAAGACCUGCAAGGUUACCACAGUGAAGAAAUCUUCAGUACGUCUUCCAGGGUCAGAUCAAAGAAGGAUAUCAUUGAAAUGGAUUCCAGGCGUGUGCCUCGAGACAAGCUGGCCUGCAUCACCAAGUGCAGCAAGCACAUCUUCAAUGCCAUCAAGAUCACCUAGAACGAGCCGGCGUCAGCAGAUGACUUCCUCCCCACCCUCAUCUACAUUGUUUUGAAGGGCAACCCCCCACGCCUUCAGUCUAAUAUCCAGUAUAUCACGCGCUUCUGCAAUCCAAGCCGACUGAUGACUGGAGAGGAUGGCUACUAUUUCACCAAUCUGGUGAGUAAGUGAGUUCUUGGCGUUGUGGAGAAGGACUAGGAAGGUGGUGGUUUUGGGGAUGUGAUAGGUCACUCAGGCCCGUGACAGGUGAAUGCUUCUGUGUGAGAAAGCAGCACGGCUGAGGAAGCUCACUUUGUAUCAGGGAGCCCAAAGACCAGGCCGUACAGACACUCCGCCUCCCAGCACUUGAUCAGAGAUUGUGUUCAUCCUACGGAAACAGAUGACAUGUGUUGGGCAUCACUCCCCACGGUCCUGGGUAGAAGAGUCCUUCACUUGGCAGGGCUUUUUCAACCAUGAAUAAGGCAAAUUAUAUAUAAGUUAAUAAUGCCAUUUCGAACCGAGACAGAUGGCAGCUAAAUGAAGUUUAAUUAAAGAAUGAGUGCUGGGGCCCUUUUUACUGGGUACUGCAUCUACUUUGACCACAAAAGACGAAGUGACCCCAACUUCAAGAACAGGCUUUGAGAUGGAAGAAAGAAACAGAAGCUUGCCAAGGAGAGAGCUGGGCUUUCCAAGUUACCUGACCUUAAAGAUGCUGAAGCUGUUCAGAAGUUCUUCCUUGAAGAAAUACAGCUUGGUGAAGAGUUACUAGCUCAAGGUGAAUAUGAGAAGGGCAUAGACCAUCUGACAAAUGGAAUUGCUGUGUGUGGACAGCCACAGCAGUUACUGCAGGCCUUACAGCAAACUCUUCCACCACCAGUGUUCCAGAUGCUUUUGACUAAGCUCCCAACAAUUAGAGAAUUCUAAGUGCUCAGAGCUUGGCUGAAGAUGAUGUGGAAUAAGAAACAAAUGUCAACAUAAUAAAAUCUCAGUUAAAAAUAUUUUAAAAAUUCUUGGUAGUUGAGCAGCUCUGGGGGAAUAAGGGCAAAUAUCCUUGUUAUGAACUAUACUGAAAUCUACCAAAGUUAAUGUUUACUUUGUGUAGGUCCAUUUGUCUAUUUUAUUUAUU